Molecule: long non-coding RNA, 2395 nt
Filed under: Homo sapiens (human)
Lineage: Eukaryota; Metazoa; Chordata; Mammalia; Primates; Hominidae
Description: BABAM2 antisense RNA 2
Source: RNAcentral
AGGAUAAACAGGGGGUGCAGUCUUUAAAACUGCUCUCAGAGAAGCUUCCAGUGGAACCAAAGGAAUACAGAUGGAGGGCCUGGGGAGAGAUGGCCUGAGGGGACCUGCAGAAGGGAUUUACCUGCUGCCCCUCCCCCAGGGGAGCCAGGAGACUGAGCUGGGCUGUAAACACUCCGUGCCUGGUGCAGCCUGGUCUGCACAGGCUGAGAGGAUGCUCUACUUCUAAACCCCAUAAGGAAAAGGCCCAGGAGGGACGGGGAUGUUGCUGCUGAUAGCUAAAAAUGAUCAAAUUCUUACCAUAUGCCAGACCUUAUGCUGGACAAUUCACUGACAUUAUCCCACGUAGUAGGCAGAAUUCUAACGUGACCCCCAAGAUUCUCCACCUUCUGUGUAAUCCCCAGGAUUGUGAAUGUGAUGGAUUUCAUUCUGGUAAACAGGUUUUGUUAUAUGGCACAGAUGACUUUAAGACAGGGAGGCUUUAAAUCUGUGACUAGCAGAAGACAUAUGGAAGGCAGAGAUUCAAAAUAUAAGAGGGAUCUGACGCACCACUACUGGCUUGAAAAUGGAGGGGACCACAUGGCAGAGGACGCACGCAGCCUCUAGUUGCUGAGGGUGGUCUCCAGUUGACAGCGGCAAGGUAACAGGGGCCUCAGUCCUACAACCACAAGGAACUGAACUCUGCCAACAUACUGAAAGAGCUUGAAGGAGGAGCAUAAGCCUCAGGGGUGAGAUCAUAGACCCAGACAAAGCCUUGAUUUUAGUUGCCUAAAACCCCGAACUGAGAACCCAGGCAUCUUGAGUGGGACUCCUAACCCACAGAAACUGUGAGAUUAAUAAUUAGUGGCGUUUUAAAAGGGUUAACUUAUGAUAUUUUUAAAAUUAGCAACACAGAAAAUCAUACACCCCAUGUGAUACCCAUCAUAACCCUCUCAAGUAGGCUUCACCAUUUUAUAGACAAGGAAACAAAGACCCAGGGAAAUUAGGAAUUUGCCCAAAGUCACAUAGCCUGUGAGUGGCAGAGACAGGUUUAAACCCAGCUAUGUCUUGACUUUAUGGUCAGUGCUCUUCAUUGCCUCAUGCAUUUCCUCUCUGUAUGAGAAGAGAGCCUCAGACACAUGGUGAAAAGAGUAUGGAACUGUUUCUGUCUGCCUGGGUGUGGAUGUGCAGAAGGGUCAGAGGACCUAUGCUUUUGUUUUGGUUUUAAAUGGUGAAAAGACAUAUACAUAGAAUCAACUAGCUGGAUUCAGUUUAGAUGAUCCCAAUAUGCCUUCUUCUCUCCAUCAGGCCUGAUCAGGGUGUUGGCUUUGGCCACAGCAGUGUCACUGAGCUUCUUCACAGCCUGUUUGAUCUGGUGCUUGUUGGCUUUGACAUCCACAAUGGACACAAGUUGUGUUGUUGUCUUCUAUCUUCUUCAUGGCUGACUCAGUGGUUGGGGGAACCUGAUGAUGAAUUAUUGGUCAAGCUUGUUUCUCCUGGGAGUGCUCUUCCAAGCAUAUUUCUGCUGCCUGCAGAGCCACACUGUCUUGGGCCACUGGCAGGUGGGUGAUGUGUGGAUUGGAUCUUCUUUUUGUGGCUGUGGACACCUUUAAGCACUGCCUUCCUGGCCUUCAAAGCAUUCGCUUUGGCUUCAGCUUUGGGAGGGGCAAGAACUUUUUUCACUUUUGGUGCCAUAAUGUGAAAAUGAGGACCUAUGUUGAGCCCUCACUCCUCUAGAAGCCAGCUGUGUGCCCUCGGCAAAGUCAAUUAAUCACUCUGAGCCUCAGUUUUUAUAAUCUGUAUGAGGCCUACUAAGAAUUUCUGCAUUAUAACCCUUGAAGGGCUGCAGCUGAUGAUCCCAUAAAAGUGUGUGAGGGGCCACUGUGAAUGAAGUCCACAGGGCAGACAGAGGCACCUGGAUGUCAUGUAGAUAUCAUUUUCUUUUCUUGAUGACUGCCAAUUUCAAUGUCCUCUGCCUAUAGGCUGGAUAUGGUCACUCUGAUGGCUUAUUUGGAGGAAGUAAUUUUAAAUAGGUUUUUUUUUUAGAGGAAAUGAUUAUUUAUUACAUUUAUUGAAAAACUACAGAAUAAGAUGGAAGGUAAUUUUUCUUUUUUUCUUGAAUUCUUUAAAAGUUAGUUGACUAUUAAAAGCCAAAGUAAUAACAAUGUAUUGUGGAAUUCAUAAAAUACGAAGACUGAAAGUGUGUGAAUAUGACAGCACAAAGAUAAAUAGAAGGUACACAGAUAAUUACACUGUUUAUACAGGAAGCAUUAUAAUAUUAAUUCACGGUAGGCUGUGAUAAGUUAACGGUGUAUUUUUAGUGUAUAAAUGACUAAAAUAUACAAAGAAAUAUAGCUAACACACCAACAGAAGAGAAAAUGGUAAACUAAAAAAUACUUUAAUAAACUGAAAGAAUACA